AAUCAGUUAUGGUUCCUUAGAUCGUUCAUACUACAUGGAUAACUGUGGUAAUUCUAGAGCUAAUACAUGCAAAAAGCUCCGACCGUAUGGGAAGAGCGCUUUUAUUAGACCAAAACCAAUGGGGUCGCAAGAUCCCUUUGUAUGGUGACUCUGGAUAACUUUGUGCUGAUCGCAUGGCCUAGAGCCGGCGACGUAUCUUUCAAGUGUCUGCCCUAUCAACUUUCGAUGGUAAGCGAUUUGCCUACCAUGGUUGUAACGGGUAACGGGGAAUCAGGGUUCGAUUCCGGAGAGGGAGCAUGAGAAAUGGCUACCACAUCUACGGAAGGCAGCAGGCGCGCAAAUUACCCACUCCUAGAACGGGGAGGUAGUGACGAAAAAUAACAAUACCGGACUCAAUGAGGCUCGGUAAUUGAAAUGAGUACAGUUUAAAACCCUUAACGAGGAUCUAUUGGAGGGCAAGUCUGGUGCCAGCAGCCGCGGUAAUUCCAGCUCCAAUAGCGUAUAUUAAAGUUGUUGCAGUUAAAAAGCUCGUAGUUGGAUCUCGGGUACUAGCAUGUGGUACGCUUAAUUGCUGUUACUACAUGUCUGGUCCUAAUCAACCGGUUGGCCGUUGAUGCCCUUUAUUGGGUGUUUUCGGUAGCCGGUACGUUUACUUUGAGAAAAUUAGAGUGCUUAAAGCAGGCCUUACGCCUGAAUAAUGUUGCAUGGAAUAAUAGAAUAGGACCUCGGUUCUAUUUUGUUGGUUUUGUAGAGCAUUGAGGUAAUGAUUAAUAGGGACAGACGGGGGCAUUCGUAUUGCGGUGUUAGAGGUGAAAUUCUUGG
RNAcentral lists this ribosomal RNA (822 nucleotides) under Brachionus quadridentatus cluniorbicularis. RNAcentral describes it as "SSU rRNA". It matches the Rfam family "Eukaryotic small subunit ribosomal RNA", at positions 104 to 923 of the family's 1831-position model. The record is from RNAcentral. Lineage: Eukaryota; Metazoa; Rotifera; Eurotatoria; Ploima; Brachionidae.